Molecule: long non-coding RNA, 661 nt
Filed under: Sorghum bicolor (sorghum)
Lineage: Eukaryota; Viridiplantae; Streptophyta; Magnoliopsida; Poales; Poaceae
Description: long non-coding RNA (SBIC_LNC002455)
Source: RNAcentral
GUGCGCUUGCGGAUCAAUUCCUGAUGGCGUUAACAAAUAUCAACAAGCAUUUCUGGCACUGUUGCCGGGGAGAAAGACGGUUUGCUGAGAUAACUUUAAGUCUUGCUAUUAUGUUAUAUUAUACUUUUAUACUUUUAUUCUUUUAUCUUUUUAUUUUUUCCAUCUUUGUGGGUAACUCAAAUUCCACACCUAUUAUUGAAUUCUUUGCACCUUCGGAGACCAGCCAUAGACCAUGGGAGUCAACAAGUCCUGCCCCUAAUUAUGAUCUGUGUCUAGAGUUGAUUGCAAUAGGUCAGAACUAACCCUUUUCUAUAGCCGAGGUCCUAUCUUUUAAUCAAGAAGAUAAUUAACUUUUAGCUACACCUAGGGAAUCUGGUAAUCUUUCUAUAAAUUUUGUUUUAGACCUAGCCCUACAAGACCAUGUUUUUUCUCGAUAUUUUCACAUUGGUCUUAAUCAUAUAACCUUUGGUAGAGUUUUUCUUUCUUUAUCUGUUAGUAAAGCAAGGUAUGUCUUCAUUCGUGGACAUCCUUCUUGCACUAGUCUUCAUAUAAAAUUCCUAGAGAUAGAGAAGGAAUCAUCUCCCAGAUGAGGAAAGGAAGUUUCAAUAGCCAAUUUCCAAACAUUUUAAUCCCAUGAUUCGGCUAUCCAAUCCAAACUAGU